AUGGGCAGAGCAAUGGUGGCCAGGCUUGGGCUGGGGCUGCUGCUGCUGGCACUGCUCCUACCCACGCAGAUUUAUUCCAGUGAAACAACAACUGGAACUUCAAGUAACUCCUCCCAGAGUACUUCCAACACUGGGUUGGCCCCAAAUCCAACUAAUGCCACCACCAAGGCGGCUGGUGGUGCCCUGCAGUCAACAGCCAGUCUCUUCGUGGUCUCACUCUCUCUUCUGCAUCUCUACUCUUAA
Molecule: long non-coding RNA, 243 nt
Filed under: Homo sapiens (human)
Lineage: Eukaryota; Metazoa; Chordata; Mammalia; Primates; Hominidae
Description: non-protein coding lnc-HSFY2-10:1
Source: RNAcentral